UGACCGCUGGCGGCGUGCCUACUACAUGCACGUCGAGCGAACAGACGAGGAGCUUGCUCCUCUGACGUUAGCGGCGGACGGGUGAGUAACACGUGGAUAACCUACCUAUAAGACUGGGAUAACUUCGGGAAACCGGAGCUAAUACCGGAUAAUAUAUUGAACCGCAUGGUUCAAUAGUGAAAGACGGUUUUGCUGUCACUUAUAGAUGGAUCCGCGCCGCAUUAGCUAGUUGGUAAGGUAACGGCUUACCAAGGCGACGAUGCGUAGCCGACCUGAGAGGGUGAUCGGCCACACUGGAACUGAGACACGGUCCAGACUCCUACGGGAGGCAGCAGUAGGGAAUCUUCCGCAAUGGGCGAAAGCCUGACGGAGCAACGCCGCGUGAGUGAUGAAGGUCUUCGGAUCGUAAAACUCUGUUAUUAGGGAAGAACAAAUGUGUAAGUAACUAUGCACGUCUUGACGGUACCUAAUCAGAAAGCCACGGCUAACUACGUG
RNAcentral lists this ribosomal RNA (495 nucleotides) under uncultured bacterium. RNAcentral's name for it is "partial 16S ribosomal RNA". It matches the Rfam family "Bacterial small subunit ribosomal RNA", at positions 30 to 507 of the family's 1533-position model. The record is from RNAcentral.